UUACCUUCUCUUUAAUUUCCUAGACAGCAAAUCAUCGGGGGGAGAAAAAAGACCUUCCCAGGAUGUGGACUCCUUGCAACUCUAGCUGUUUCUGUCUCUUGAAUAACCUUUUUGUGUGUAUGGUCUGAGCAAAUCUUAGGCAGAACCAUCCACUCCUAUAUAUAUAUAUAUAUAUAUAUAUAUAUAUAAACCAAUCUUCACAGCACAAUUAAUGACCUCUCAAUCUUUCUUUCUUGUGCUUAUGUUCUUCUUCUUUGAUUCUCAUAUAUCAUGAGCAACAUACCAAGAUCUCUCACAGACUCUUCUUUUACCCUUU
RNAcentral lists this long non-coding RNA (316 nucleotides) under Populus tremula. RNAcentral's name for it is "long non-coding RNA (PTRE_LNC001126)". The record is from RNAcentral. Lineage: Eukaryota; Viridiplantae; Streptophyta; Magnoliopsida; Malpighiales; Salicaceae.